CCUCCUUUCUAGAGAAAGAGAUGGUAGUUUUAAUAGGUUACGAAUUAUUUACUUUUUAAUUGCUGUUCAAUUUUAUAACUAAUAUAGAGAUUAAGAAUCACAGAGUCUCGUAGCUCAGCUGGUUAGAGCGCUACACUGAUAAUGUAGAGGUCGGCAGUUCGAGUCUGCCCGAGACUACUAUUUUAGAAAUAGUACUGUGAGGGAGGAUAUUACACAAAGACAAACGUCCGAGUGCGAUACCUUAAUAAUCUUUUUAAGAUAGGAAAUUUUAGAAGUUGAGUAUUCGUUAGCAAUCUAACGAUUAACUACCAAAUACUAGCUACUAGUAAUUUUGGGGGAUUAGCUCAGCUGGCUAGAGCGCCUGCCUUGCACGCAGGAGGUCAUCGGUUCGACUCCGAUAUUCUCCACACAGGCGAUGCCUUGAGAUGGUUUACCACUCAGACAU
Molecule: unclassified non-coding RNA, 445 nt
Filed under: uncultured Bacteroidota bacterium
Lineage: Bacteria; Pseudomonadati; Bacteroidota
Description: uncultured Bacteroidetes bacterium partial 16S-23S ribosomal RNA intergenic spacer
Rfam family: tRNA (bases 104-177)
Source: RNAcentral